This 571-nucleotide ribosomal RNA is filed under the name uncultured bacterium. RNAcentral describes it as "bacterial SSU rRNA". It matches the Rfam family "Bacterial small subunit ribosomal RNA", at positions 125 to 726 of the family's 1533-position model. The record is from RNAcentral.
GCUGCCAUUGGGAGGGGGACAACAGUUGGAAACGGCUGCUAAUACCCCGUAUGCCGGAAGGUGAAAGGGAUUAUCCCGCCCGAUGAGGUGCUCAUGUCCUAUCAGCUAGUUGGUGAGGUAACGGCUCACCAAGGCAAUGACGGGUAGCCGGCCUGAGAGGGUGAACGGCCACACUGGAACUGAGAUACGGUCCAGACUCCUACGGGAGGCAGCAGUGGGGAAUAUUGGGCAAUGGGGGAAACCCUGACCCAGCGACGCCGCGUGGGGGAAGACGGCCUUCGGGUUGUAAACCCCUUUUGUAUGGGAAGAAGGACGUGACGGUACCAUACGAAUAAGUCCCGGCUAACUACGUGCCAGCAGCCGCGGUAAUACGUAGGGGACGAGCGUUGUCCGGAAUUACUGGGCGUUAAGGGCGCGCAGGCGGUUUGUCAAGUCAGCUGUUAAAUAUCAGGGCUUAACCCUGAUAUGCUGUUGAAACUGGCAGACUGGAGUGCUGUAAAGGCAACUGGAAUUCCCAGUGUAGCGGUGACAUGCGUAGAUAUUGGGAAUAACACCGGUGGAGAAGGCGACU